GUCAGUUCCUGACCUUUGACCUCACCCAAAGUCCAUCUGAGAGAACACUUCCUGAGCAGAAUGAGACCAGGACUGGUGCCGAUGUUUCAACAACAACAACAACAACCUGCUUCCGAUAUCAAUUAUGAAAAAUGCAUUGGACAGAACCAGAGGUCAACGGUCAGAGUGUCUCUGCCUGGGAACAUGGCGGAGAAGAGGAGGAGCCGUCACACCUGUAGCAGCAGGUGUUCACCUUCCAACGUGUUACAUUUGUUCGUCGUGUUAAGUGUUCAAAAAUCCCCGGGUGCUGAACCGAAGAAAAUGUCCGGAGUCAAAAAGUUAUAAUCAAAUGUAUUUAAUAAAAAGUAUUACGAAUA
Molecule: long non-coding RNA, 356 nt
Organism: Pseudoliparis swirei
Lineage: Eukaryota; Metazoa; Chordata; Actinopteri; Perciformes; Liparidae
Exons: 2
Source: RefSeq, a predicted model, not a curated record